UUUAUUUUUUUUUUUUUUUUUCUCCGUCAGACGAACGCCUGGCCGGCGUGCCUUAAUACAUGCAAAGUCGAGCCGACCAGAUGGGAAGCUUGCUUCCCUGAUUUCAGCGGCCGAACGGGUGAGUAACCACGUGGGUAACCUGCCUGUUAGGACUGGGAUUAAUUCCGGGAAACCCGGGCUUAUUCCCGAAGGCUGAAUGAACCGCCUUGUUUCAUUAUUAAAAGUGGGUUUCAGCUACCACUUACAGAUGGACCCGCGGCGCAUUAGCUAGUUGGUGAGGUAACGGCUCACCAAGGCGACGAUGCGUAGCCGACCUGAGAGGGUGAUCGGCCACACUGGGACUGAGACACGGCCCAGACUCCUACGGGAGGCAGCAGUAGGGAAUCUUCCGCAAUGGACGAAAGUCUGACGGAGCAACGCCGCGUGAGUGAUGAAGGUUUUCGGAUCGUAAAACUCUGUUGUUAGGGAAGAACAAGUACCGUUCGAAUAGGGCGGUACCUUGACGGUACCUAACCAGAAAGCCACGGCUAACUACGUGCCAGCAGCCGCGGUAAUACGUAGGUGGCAAGCGUUGUCCGGAAUUAUUGGGCGUAAAGCGCGCGCAGGCGGUUUCUUAAGUCUGAUGUGAAAGCCCCCGGCUCAACCGGGGAGGGUCAUUGGAAACUGGGGAACUUGAGUGCAGAAGAGGAGAGUGGAAUUCCACGUGUAGCGGUGAAAUGCGUAGAGAUGUGGAGGAACACCAGUGGCGAAGGCGACUCUCUGGUCUGUAACUGACGCUGAGGCGCGAAAGCGUGGGGAGCGAACAGGAUUAGAUACCCUGGUAGUCCACGCCGUAAACGAUGAGUGCUAAGUGUUAGAGGGUUUCCGCCCUUUAGUGCUGCAGCAAACGCAUAAGCANUCCGCNUGGGA
RNAcentral lists this ribosomal RNA (909 nucleotides) under Bacillus licheniformis. Its description in RNAcentral is "bacterial SSU rRNA". It matches the Rfam family "Bacterial small subunit ribosomal RNA", at positions 1 to 878 of the family's 1533-position model. The record is from RNAcentral. Lineage: Bacteria; Bacillati; Bacillota; Bacilli; Caryophanales; Bacillaceae.